UUGGUUUACAAUACUUUUCAAAGGAGGAAAAUCAUCGAGCAGCCGCUGCCUUUUUCACAUUUGAUCAAAAUCUGAUCGAUCUGACUUCACAGAUCGCUGGUGCAGAGAGCCUUUGAAGUAAAGCGGGUCGAUCGUCAUCAUACCUCUUCUGCAAUUACGAGUGAGUGUUUAUCUUCUAUCAACUCCAUUUCUAUCGAGUUUUCUUUCGAUCUGUUUAAACGAGUUUUAUUAUUUUCAAUUCGUUUAUUAGACUAAUUCAAUUGCUGAUUCUUUUUUGCAUGAUCCUUAUCUGUUAGGGUUUUAAUGUCAACUACUUAUGUCUUGUUAUUGCUAGUAAUCCCCCAAUAGUUCAUAAAUUAAGUUGCUGAAUCGAAUUUGAUCUGUGUAACCAAAGACUCAAUAGAUGCUUGAUAACAGCAUAGUUCGUAAUCCAAAAUUGAAAAGAGAAAGUAUUGCUAAAUCUACUAUGAUCGAGGCAAAAUUAUAGCGUAAUCAGGGCCUUAAUAUAACAGAUCCAAUCAGAGGAUUUGUGAUCCUCUUAACAGUACCUAAAUGGUCACAUAGGUUGGUGAAUGAAGUAGAAUACUAACAUGCUUGACAGAAUUGUAUGGUGUUUAGAUUUUCGCAGAUGGGUUGUUGUGGACCUUGUGGUGUUUAGGUUUCUGCUAAUUAAGUGCCUCGAGG
This 684-nucleotide long non-coding RNA is filed under the name Lactuca sativa (garden lettuce). RNAcentral's name for it is "long non-coding RNA (LSAT_LNC009212)". The record is from RNAcentral. Lineage: Eukaryota; Viridiplantae; Streptophyta; Magnoliopsida; Asterales; Asteraceae.